UACGUAUGGUGCGAGCGUUGUCCGGAAUUAUUGGGCGUAAAGAGCUUGUAGGCGGUCUGUCGCGUCUGCUGUGAAAAUCCGGGGCUCAACCCCGGACUUGCAGUGGGUACGGGCAGACUAGAGUGUGGUAGGGGAGACUGGAAUUCCUGGUGUAGCGGUGAAAUGCGCAGAUAUCAGGAGGAACACCGAUGGCGAAGGCAGGUCUCUGGGCCACUACUGACGCUGAGAAGCGAAAGCAUGGGGAGCGAACAGG
RNAcentral lists this ribosomal RNA (253 nucleotides) under uncultured bacterium. Its description in RNAcentral is "partial 16S ribosomal RNA". It matches the Rfam family "Bacterial small subunit ribosomal RNA", at positions 524 to 776 of the family's 1533-position model. The record is from RNAcentral.